AGCUUUGCGUGGCCAACAGCCGAUGCUUGCAAAAUGCCAAGCCAGCCACCAGCUUCCCUUCCAAAAAACACACAGUAGCUCUGGUGCCGGCCCUGCUCCUCCGGGAGGAAGUCCCUGGAAUCGAGCCGCAGGGUGAGUCCGCUCUGGUGAAGGAGUGGAUCGAGGAGAACGGCCUGCGCUGUUCUUCAAUCACGUUCUGGUGAAGGAGUUGAUCGCCGGAGAACGACCUGCUCAAUCUUGAACAACAGAUUGCUUUCAACUUGAUCAACGUCUGCCCUUUUAUUCGUGGAAGAAGCAGCCCCUGAGGAAGACCUGCUCUCCUUUUCAAUCUGGUGAAGUUUCCCUUUCUCAUGCCAUGUUCCCAUGAAUAGCUCCCUAGAACUGACAGAAUUUUGAUUAGAAGACUGCUUUCAACUUAAUCAAGCUUUCCCUUUUAUAAGAAGAAGAAGAAUCAGCCGGGGUUGUAUUUUGUCAAUUGAGAUGGUAGAAGAGGCUAACACAUCGUACCAUAUGGUACCAUGCCAACAUGAGAUUGGGAUGACUGAGUUGUCAUUGUGAUGCAACGGAGGGUUAAGACAAGUGACGAUGAGGAAAGACGGAUGCUUGAUAUAGAUGCUACAGCUGUUGUGGCGGUGGUAGAAGCUUGGGAUUUGGAUGGUAGAAUUAUGUUAUGUUUAUAAGGCCAGUUUAAUAAAAUAGAGAAUGCACUUGGAGAGAUGGCUUGUGUUGAUCCUCACCAAAUAACUUACCAUUUUGUUCUGUAGUAUGGACUGAACUGGGAGAAGGAAGCAAUUAAUAAUUUAAUUGAGAAGGCAUAUGUGAAGCUGAAGUAUAUGAGCUAAUGUUUAGGUACAUUAUUUCUUCAACCAUUCAAACAUCAAACUGUAUAUCAGUGUUGUAAAUCAAGUGGAAUAUAUGUGUUGCCAUAUCUAUUCUAUUCUGAGUUCAA
Molecule: long non-coding RNA, 949 nt
Organism: Triticum dicoccoides
Lineage: Eukaryota; Viridiplantae; Streptophyta; Magnoliopsida; Poales; Poaceae
Exons: 3
Source: RefSeq, a predicted model, not a curated record